Molecule: ribosomal RNA, 255 nt
Filed under: Escherichia coli
Lineage: Bacteria; Pseudomonadati; Pseudomonadota; Gammaproteobacteria; Enterobacterales; Enterobacteriaceae
Description: partial 23S ribosomal RNA
Rfam family: Bacterial large subunit ribosomal RNA
Source: RNAcentral
UGAAGGACGUGCUAAUCUGCGAUAAGCGUCGGUAAGGUGAUAUGAACCGUUAUAACCGGCGAUUUCCGAAUGGGGAAACCCAGUGUGAUUCGUCACACUAUCAUUAACUGAAUCCAUAGGUUAAUGAAGCGAACCGGGGGAACUGAAACAUCUAAGUACCCCGAGGAAAAGAAAUCAACCGAGAUUCCCCCAGUAGCGGCGAGCGAACGGGGAGCAGCCCAGAGCCUGAAUCAGUGUGUGUGUUAGUGGAAGCGU